Molecule: ribosomal RNA, 404 nt
Filed under: Actinomycetes bacterium
Lineage: Bacteria; Bacillati; Actinomycetota; Actinomycetes
Description: Actinobacteria bacterium partial 16S ribosomal RNA
Rfam family: Bacterial small subunit ribosomal RNA
Source: RNAcentral
UGGGGAAUAUUGGACAAUGGGCGCAAGCCUGAUCCAGCCAUGCCGCGUGAGUGAUGAAGGCCCUAGGGUUGUAAAGCUCUUUCACCGGUGAAGAUAAUGACGGUAACCGGAGAAGAAGCCCCGGCUAACUUCGUGCCAGCAGCCGCGGUAAUACGAAGGGGGCUAGCGUUGUUCGGAUUUACUGGGCGUAAAGCGCACGUAGGCGGACUAUUAAGUCAGGGGUGAAAUCCCGGGGCUCAACCCCGGAACUGCCUUUGAUACUGGUAGUCUUGAGUUCGAGAGAGGUGAGUGGAAUUCCGAGUGUAGAGGUGAAAUUCGUAGAUAUUCGGAGGAACACCAGUGGCGAAGGCGGCUCACUGGCUCGAUACUGACGCUGAGGUGCGAAAGCGUGGGGAGCAAAUAGG